This 74-nucleotide transfer RNA is filed under the name Lachnospiraceae bacterium. RNAcentral's name for it is "tRNA-Arg". It matches the Rfam family "tRNA". From Rfam's summary of the family: Transfer RNA (tRNA) molecules are approximately 80 nucleotides in length. Their secondary structure includes four short double-helical elements and three loops (D, anti-codon, and T loops). Lineage: Bacteria; Bacillati; Bacillota; Clostridia; Lachnospirales; Lachnospiraceae. The record is from RNAcentral.
UGCAACCGUAGUCUAACGGAUAGAACACAGGACUCCGACUCCUGCAAUGUGGGUUCGAUUCCCGCCGGUUGCAU